RNAcentral lists this long non-coding RNA (716 nucleotides) under Mytilus galloprovincialis (Mediterranean mussel). Lineage: Eukaryota; Metazoa; Mollusca; Bivalvia; Mytilida; Mytilidae. The record is from RNAcentral.
ACAAAAAAAAAGACAGAAACAAUAUAAUAAAAUACAUCUCUUUAAUAACAUAUACACAUUUCAAUACAUGGAAUGUUUUCGUUCAUUUCACAGCUUCUGUUUAUAGCACCCUUUUAUUGCACAUACAAAAGCUAAAAAUAUUAAAUAGACCUUUUUCUAUUCUCUUAUCAAUAAAAACAUCAACAUAAAAAUAAUAAACUUAUUUGCAAGAAAGAUCAGUUCUGCAUUAAAAAUUAAAUAAAUGUAGGAAAAAUUUAUUCUACAAAUACUUUAAUCCAAGAAUAAUUCAGACUUAUCACUCUUUUCCCACACUAAUCCAAGAAUAAAUCUGACUUAUCUCCCUUUUCCCAUACUUUGAUAAAAUCUGAUUUAAAACUGAGUUAUCUCCCAUUACCCAUACUUGAUAAAUUCUGAUUUUAACUGAAUCAUCGCCACUUGAUGUUGAUUAUAUUGAUAGAUAUUUCUUUUUAUAGUUAGAUAUAAAUCAGAUAACGGCUGUAACUCUUAACAUUUAACAAUUACCUAGAGAAUCCUAUUAUUAUAUGAUUCAACAUGGCUUUCUGACAGAUUUCUUCCAUCACAACUGUAUUUAUUAAGUGAUUUUCAUAUGUAAAUACAAUGGAAUUAAAUCAUAUCAUGUAUGAUUUGAAUCAACAGUUUCUAUCCGAAAACAAAAUUUUCAAUAGAGAGUUUAUAUAUACUUUUUGCAGAAGAAA